UAUAAGAGGUCCUACCUGCCCAGUGUUUAACGGCCGCGGUAUUUUGACCGUGCAAAGGUAGCGCAAUCACUUGUUUUUUAAAUAAAGACCUGUAUGAAUGGUGAAACGAGGGCUUAACUGUCUCCCUUUUCUAAUCAGUGAAAUUGAUUUACCCGUGCAGAAGCGGGUAUGAAUAUACAAGACGAGAAGACCCUAUGGAGCUUAAGAGUCUUCGGUUGGGGCGACCACGGGGGAAAACAAAUCCCCCACGCACACCUCUAAGGAUCCGGCGCCGAUCAACGGACCAAGUUACCCUAGGGAUAACAGCGCAAUCCCCUUCAAGAGUCCUUAUCGACAAGGGGGUUUACGACCUCGAUGUUGGAUCAGGACAUCCUAAUGGUGCAGCCGCUAUUAAGGGUUCGUUUGUUCAACGAUUAAAGUC
Molecule: ribosomal RNA, 421 nt
Filed under: Hollandichthys multifasciatus
Lineage: Eukaryota; Metazoa; Chordata; Actinopteri; Characiformes; Acestrorhamphidae
Description: partial 16S ribosomal RNA
Rfam family: Bacterial large subunit ribosomal RNA
Source: RNAcentral